CAGCUAGUUGGCAGGGUAAAAGCCUACCAAGGCUGUGAUCGGUAGCCGGCCUGAGAGGGCACACGGCCACACUGGCACUGAAACACGGGCCAGACUCCUACGGGAGGCAGCAGUGGGGAAUCUUGCACAAUGGGGGAAACCCUGAUGCAGCGACGCCGCGUGAGCGAUGAAGCCCUUCGGGGUGUAAAGCUCUUUCGGCAGGGAAGAUUAUGACGGUACCUGCAGAAGCAGCUGCGGCUAACUACGUGCCAGCAGCCGCGGUAAUACGUAGGCAGCAAGCGUUGUUCGGAGUUACUGGGCGUAAAGGGAGUGUAGGCGGCCUGUUAAGUUCCGAUGUGAAAUC
This 343-nucleotide ribosomal RNA is filed under the name uncultured Acidobacteriota bacterium. Its description in RNAcentral is "SSU rRNA". It matches the Rfam family "Bacterial small subunit ribosomal RNA", at positions 242 to 601 of the family's 1533-position model. The record is from RNAcentral. Lineage: Bacteria; Pseudomonadati; Acidobacteriota.